UGCCCUACUGCAUCAGUGGGCAAAGAGACACUUUGAUGAUGGUGUUACUCUUAUAUCAACCAGGGACAGAGUAGGUUGUAGUCCUUUGUUCAUUCCAGCUUGAUAUCUGGCUUGGUUGCCAAAGCUGUCUUAUGCCCAGGACUCACAC
Small nucleolar RNA from Rattus norvegicus (Norway rat), 148 nucleotides. Ensembl annotates it as small nucleolar RNA SNORA48. NCBI's taxonomy places the organism in Eukaryota, Metazoa, Chordata, Mammalia, Rodentia, Muridae. The record is from Ensembl.